GGCACAUGCGCAGGAUCGUCGUGGCGCAAGGCUCUCUACUUCCUUGGUUCCAGUCCCCGCUGUGUCUUGCGCUCCUGUGUGUGCCUGCGUGGCCCCUGUGCGGCAGUGGAGGUGGUCAGCUUUCGGACACUACUCCGGUGACACACUAGUGAUGAAACAAAUCAGGGACUAUCUUAAACGUUUCGUAAAAAAAAAAAAAAAAGAGACAAAAAUCGCUUUUAACUAAACUCCAAGCCACCGAGUGCGCCUUCGAGCCCUGGGUGGCCGCUCAGGAACUUAAAACCGCGCAUCGCUGUCGUGUUCUCGCCCUCCGCCAGCGCCUCCCAGAUCUGUCACACCUAAGCCUAGAACCACCUCACGAGGAAAGAAAGCAGAUUAGUAGAGCCCCCAGAGACCAGGACUGCAGGACUACAAGGACACACGCUGAACACAAGGCCCUUUCUACAGCUCUCAUUCAUAGUAAACUGUUAGCCACUGGGGUGAUAAGGAGAUAGAAGAUUGAAGCUUUGCUUACCUCAUACCUCAGCUGGGAUUCCUGAUAUGGGCAAUAUUUAUUUUGUAUUAUGCAGAGUUUUUUAGUUCCUAGGGAGGAGAAGGAAGAGGAAAAAGAAUGUGGAGGAAGAAGGAAAAGGAAGAAGAAGAAGAAGAAAAAUAGACACUAUCAG
RNAcentral lists this long non-coding RNA (665 nucleotides) under Mus caroli (Ryukyu mouse). Its description in RNAcentral is "lncRNA (MGP_CAROLIEiJ_G0005048.1)". The stretch from base 78 to 294 matches the Rfam family "Deleted in lymphocytic leukemia 1 conserved region 1". Lineage: Eukaryota; Metazoa; Chordata; Mammalia; Rodentia; Muridae. The record is from RNAcentral.